AUGUCAGGGUCAAAAGCCUGAGACCACGGCAAGCUUGCUUGCCAGUGGGAAAAAGGCUUUAUGACCCGUCCCGGCAUGAGCAUGAAGUGGUGCCAAAGCACCACGGAAAUGCGAAUGACGGGAGGAUUGUGAGAGUGCGCAGCACGAAACAAUCCGUGAC
Molecule: small RNA, 160 nt
Filed under: uncultured Eubacterium sp.
Lineage: Bacteria; Bacillati; Bacillota; Clostridia; Eubacteriales; Eubacteriaceae
Description: Clostridiales-1 RNA
Rfam family: Clostridiales-1 RNA
Source: RNAcentral